AGAUUGAACGCUGGCGGCAGGCCUAACACAUGCAAGUCGAGCGGCAGCACGGGUACUUGUACCUGGUGGCGAGCGGCGGACGGGUGAGUAAUGCCUAGGAAUCUGCCUGGUAGUGGGGGGAUAACGCUCGGAAACGGACGCUAAUACCGCAUACGUCCUACGGGAGAAAGCAGGGGACCUUCGGGCCUUGCGCUAUCAGAUGAGCCUAGGUCGGAUUAGCUAGUUGGUGGGGUAAUGGCUCACCAAGGCGACGAUCCGUAACUGGUCUGAGAGGAUGAUCAGUCACACUGAACUGAGACACGGUCCAGACUCCGUACGGGAGGCAGCAGUGGGGAAUAUUGGACAAUGGGACGAAAGCCUAGAUCCAGCCAUGGCCGCGUGUGGUGAAGAAAGGUUCUUACGGAUUAGUAAAGACGUAACUUUUAAGGUUGGGAAGGUAAGGGCUAACGGUUACCUAAAUUACGUAAUCGUUGUUUUGUACCGUUAACCGACAAGGAAUAAGACGUACCGGACUAACUCUGUCGCCAGCA
This 530-nucleotide ribosomal RNA is filed under the name uncultured soil bacterium. RNAcentral's name for it is "bacterial SSU rRNA". It matches the Rfam family "Bacterial small subunit ribosomal RNA", at positions 26 to 513 of the family's 1533-position model. The record is from RNAcentral.